GGCGUGAGGAAACGGUUUUCGUGAUGCAGGCAGGAGAGAGUAAGAGGCCGUUGGACAUCUUUAAAAACAUUAAAUGUCAGAGGUCUGGAGAGCAGACGGCCUGACUAAUGAACAUCUACGAGAGAAGAAAAAGCCCCGACUAGCUGAGCAGAUCUCCUUGAUGUAAGUCAUCCUGAUCUCAUCAAAAACCGCCUGGCUCUUCAGGCCUUCUUUUGGAACUACACACAUGGAACAAGAAAACACACAGAGAUGACUGUGGGUGUAGCUUAGAUGGAAAUAAAUAUAAUCUUCAAAU
This is a long non-coding RNA of Poecilia latipinna (sailfin molly), 295 nucleotides long. RefSeq lists it as uncharacterized. The record is from RefSeq and is a predicted model, not a curated record. The transcript has 3 exons. NCBI's taxonomy places the organism in Eukaryota, Metazoa, Chordata, Actinopteri, Cyprinodontiformes, Poeciliidae.